Molecule: long non-coding RNA, 265 nt
Organism: Triticum aestivum (bread wheat)
Lineage: Eukaryota; Viridiplantae; Streptophyta; Magnoliopsida; Poales; Poaceae
Exons: 3
Source: RefSeq, a predicted model, not a curated record
AGAUCGAAGGACCUCCUCUCCUGUCUGAGAUUUGUACCCAAGUGAGCAAAGAAAAGCAUCGAACGUUUUGCAGUGCAUCUAACUAUCCUGAACUCACAAUAGGUGCUGAUUUGUGGGUCUGCUCUGACAUUAGAAGUUGGCUUUAUCCGAAGACUUUGUGUUCAAUUGCUUGGUGCCUUUUGAUUCGUCUGUCAUUGAGAAGUUUGCACUCAGAGCAAGAAAGCCAACAUCAAGUUGUGGUACAUGAUGUCGAGGAAGGAGUGGA